Molecule: non-coding RNA, 1752 nt
Organism: Camellia sinensis
Lineage: Eukaryota; Viridiplantae; Streptophyta; Magnoliopsida; Ericales; Theaceae
Source: RefSeq, a predicted model, not a curated record
CUCUAUUUCGCCCUCUCUCUGUCUCUGUCUCUGUCUCUGUCUCUGUCUGGAUUCAAAUUCUCAGAAUUGAAAACUACUCCUCUGUAAUCUAUUUGAAAGCCAUUCAGCGUACGAAUAAUGGAUCAAAUUUCUUGAUAAACCCAUUAGUCCAAUUUACUAGUGAAAUUCAUGAUAUGCUCGCCACUCCCAAGAUCGAAACCCUAGGAUUAUCUACUUUUUCGAUCCCAAACCCUCUCUUAUUAAUAUCUAAACCAUAACCAGAGAUCUCGUGGGUUGCGCUGGAUUCUGGAAUCUGGAUAGCCUAGUUCAACACUGGGUUCGUCGGUAAGUGUGUUGCUACCGAAACCCUAGUUUUUUUUGUUUGUUUUUAAUUUCGAUUUUUUUUUCUCUCUCCUUAACUUAUCAAUUUCAUCUUAUUAGUAAGUUUUUUAUUUCAAAAACAGAGAGAAUUGAUUUCAAAAUUUGAACAAUUUAAUGGGUGUAAUUUGUUCAAAAUAGUAAAAACAAAGAGUGUUAUCAUUGCUAUAAGCUUUAUUGAUGGCUUUUAUUAUAACGAAAUCUUUUCUACUCGUGUCAUGGAGUUGAUUUUCGGACAAGUUUAGAUAUUCAGUGAACAUCUCACUGAAUAUUUGUAAUUUAAUGGAGUAUUUCUUUCAUAUUUGAUGCAAUGGUUGAUAAAAUGUGAUGAAAGAAUAAUAAUGGUACAAUGAGAUUUGUAACAUUACUAGUUAUUUUAAAUUAGUGAAAACAUGUCUGUCAUAAGCCAGUGAAAAUCCAUUAGCAUGAUAUCAUCAUAGAUACUGCCAUCAAUAGCUUAAUCAUGUGAACUCGAUAAAUUCUUUAUGUUGUUCCACAUUUCUUCAUCCUAUCAAAAUUUGAAUGUUUACAAAUUUCUUCUUACAAAAGAACCGUUUUGAUUGGAUUCCAAUAGCCACUCAUUUUGAUGUUAUUUUUUUUGCUUUUGAAGAAAUAUCACCCUUCAAGAGUACUAACCCUUGUCUAUCAACCAUUUGCACUUGGAACAAUGGAAAUACUUGCAUAUAAUGAGUCAAAGAUUGACACAAGGCAGCGCAACUUGACUGGAUACAUCCUUUUCUUCAUUAGUACUUUUGCUCUAUUAGUUUUGGAUUUAGCGACAUCAGGGAAGGGAGGAAUCGGAAAUUUUAUCAGUAUAUGCAUCAUUGUUGCUGCCUGCAGAGUUGCAGAUGCCCAUGUUCAAGGUGGAAUGGUUGGAGACCUAUCCUUCAUGUGCCCUGAGUUCAUCCAAUUAAGAGUAUGUAGCAAAACCUUGCUUGCCUUCAUAAAUAAUUGCCUUCUAUGGAGCCAGAACUUGAAGGAGUUUUUUGUAAGUUGUGUUGUUUGAAGUUUGUGAAGCACUGUCUGUGAUUGGUGACACAAGCCGUGCCUUGCCACAUAAUGCUUUCCAAACUACAAAGUCAAACCAUCCAAAAUUACUGAUAAGAAAUCAUUUGAGAUGGAUGCAGUCGUGCACGAAACUAAAUUGUACAAGACUAAUUGGCACUAUAAGCAUUUUGGGAAGAAUUAUAUAAUUUUGGAUAGAUGUGUAUGGAAAAGAUUUGGGUAGACUAGUAGUUAUAUUUUUGGAUGGGUGUGUAUGGUAAAUAUUUGGAUAGACUACUAGUUAUAUUUUUUGAAAGAUGUGCAUGGAUGAAAACUUAAAACAUAAUAAUAAGAACUUGUUAUCUUUUAAAUUUUUAUGCUAGAUGAAUGUGAAUUGAAUGAUUAUAUAUA